AGAGUUUGAUCAUGGCUCAGGAUGAACGCUAGCGGCAGGCUUAAUACAUGCAAGUCGAGGGGCAGCAGGACGGUAGCAAUACCGUUGCUGGCGACCGGCAAACGGGUGCGGAACACGUACGCAACUUACCCAUAACUGGGGGAUAGCCCGGGGAAACCCGGAUUAAUACCUCGUAACAUCACCAGGUGGCAUCACCGGGUGAUUAUAGCUCCGGCGGUUAUGGAUGGGCGUGCGCCUGAUUAGGUAGUUGGCGGGGUAACGGCCCACCAAGCCUGCGAUCAGUAACUGGUGUGAGAGCACGACCAGUCACACGGGCACUGAGACACGGGCCCGACUCCUACGGGAGGCAGCAGUAAGGAAUAUUGGUCAAUGGACGCAAGUCUGAACCAGCCAUGCCGCGUGAAGGAUGAAGGUCCUCUGGAUUGUAAACUUCUUUUAUAUGGGACGAAACCCGGGUAUUCCUACCCGAUUGACGGUACCAUAGGAAUAAGCACCGGCUAACUCCGUGCCAGCAGCCGCGGUAAUACGGAGGGUGCAAGCGUUAUUCGGAUUCACUGGGUUUAAAGGGUGCGUAGGAGGGUAGGUAAGUCAGUGGUGAAAUCUCCGGGCUCAACUCGGAAACUGCCGUUGAUACUAUCUGUCUUGAAUACCGUGGAGGUGAGCGGAAUAUGUCAUGUAGCGGUGAAAUGCUUAGAUAUGACAUAGAACACCGAUUGCGAAGGCAGCUCACUACACGAAUAUUGACUCUGAGGCACGAAAGCGUGGGGAUCAAACAGGAUUAGAUACCCUGGUAGUCCACGCCCUAAACUAUGGAUACUCGACAUACGCGAUACACUGUGUGUGUCUGAGCGAAAGCAUUAAGUAUCCCACCUGGGAAGUACGACCGCAAGGUUGAAACUCAAAUGAAUUGACGG
Molecule: ribosomal RNA, 914 nt
Filed under: uncultured bacterium
Lineage: Bacteria
Description: bacterial SSU rRNA
Rfam family: Bacterial small subunit ribosomal RNA
Source: RNAcentral